RNAcentral lists this transfer RNA (72 nucleotides) under Chloroflexota bacterium. RNAcentral describes it as "Chloroflexi bacterium (freshwater metagenome) tRNA-Met". It matches the Rfam family "tRNA". From Rfam's summary of the family: Transfer RNA (tRNA) molecules are approximately 80 nucleotides in length. Their secondary structure includes four short double-helical elements and three loops (D, anti-codon, and T loops). Further hydrogen bonds mediate the characteristic L-shaped molecular structure. tRNAs have two regions of fundamental functional importance: the anti-codon, which is responsible for specific mRNA codon recognition, and the 3' end, to which the tRNAs corresponding amino acid is attached (by aminoacyl-tRNA synthetases). tRNAs cope with the degeneracy of the genetic code in two manners: having more than one tRNA (with a specific anti-codon) for a particular amino acid; and 'wobble' base-pairing, i.e. permitting non-standard base-pairing at the 3rd anti-codon position. RNAcentral also lists the same sequence under 3 other names. Lineage: Bacteria; Bacillati; Chloroflexota. The record is from RNAcentral.
UGCGGGGUGGAGCAGUGGCAGCUCGUUGGGCUCAUAACCCAAAGGUCGCAGGUUCGAAUCCUGCCCCCGCUA